RNAcentral lists this ribosomal RNA (1270 nucleotides) under uncultured organism. RNAcentral's name for it is "bacterial SSU rRNA". It matches the Rfam family "Bacterial small subunit ribosomal RNA", at positions 38 to 1340 of the family's 1533-position model. The record is from RNAcentral.
AGCGGCGCGCUUAAUGCAUGCAAGUCGAGCGAUGAGGCCUUCUUCGGAGGGCACAUCAGCGGCAGACGGGUGAGUAACACGUGGGUGACCUGCCCUUGAGACGGGGAUAACGGAUGGAAACAUGCGCUAAUACCCGAUAGGGUCCCAGGGUCAAAGCUGGGAUGAAAGCUUUGGUGCUCAAGGAGGGGCUCGCGGCCCAUCAGCUAGUUGGUGAGGUAACGGCUCACCAAGGCGAAGACGGGUAGGGGGUGUGAGAGCACGGNCCCCCACAAUGGGACUGAGACACGGCCCAUACUCCUACGGGAGGCAGCAGCAGGGAAUAUUGCACAAUGGACGGAAGUCUGAUGCAGCGACGCCGCGUGGAUGAUGAAGGCCUUCGGGUUGUAAAAUCCUUUACGGGGUGACGAGGAAGGACGGUAGCCCCGGAACAAGCGUCGGCUAACUACGUGCCAGCAGCCGCGGUAAGACGUAGGACGCAAGCGUUAUCCGGAUUUACUGGGCGUAAAGCGUCUGUAGGCGGAUGAGUAAGUUGGGCGUGAAAGCUCCGGGCUCAACCCGGAGAGGCCGUUCAAUACUGCUGAUCUAGAGGAGGCCAGAGGGGAGUGGAAUUCCUGGAGUAGCGGUCCAAUGCGCAGAUAUCAGGAAGAACACCAGUGGCGAAGGCGGCUCCCUAGGGCCCACCUGACGCUGAGAGACGACAGCUAGGGGAGCGAACAGGAUUAGAGACCCUGGUAGUCCUAGCCGUAAACGAUGGAUGCUAGGUGUAGGGCCGUAGAGGCUCUGUGCCCGGAGCGAACGCGAUAAGCAUCCCGCCUGGGGAGUACGGCCGCAAGGCUAAAACUCAAACGAAUUGACGGGGGACCCGCACAAGCAGCGGAGCGUGUGGUUUAAUUCGAUGCUACACGAAGAACCUUACCUGGGUUUGACAUGGGCGUGGUAGUGAAGCGAAAGCGGAGCGACCCUUCGGGGAGCGUCCACAGGUGCUGCAUGGCUGUCGUCAGCUCGUGCCGUGAGUCGUCGGGUUAAGUCCCGUAACGAGCGCAACCCUUGCCCUUAGUUACAAGUGUCUAAGGGGACUGCCGGCGGGAAGCCGGAGGACGCGUGGGGAUCGACGUCAAGUCAGCAUGGCCCUUAUAUCCAGGGCUACACACACGCUACAAUGGCCGGUACAGAGGGCAGCGAAGCCGCGAGGUGGAGCGAAUCCCAGAAAGCCGGUCGUAGUUCGGAUUGCAGGCUGCAACCCGCCUGCAUGAAGCUGGAGUUGCUAGUA